This 373-nucleotide long non-coding RNA is filed under the name Ganoderma lucidum. Its description in RNAcentral is "long non-coding RNA (GLUC_LNC000021)". The record is from RNAcentral. Lineage: Eukaryota; Fungi; Basidiomycota; Agaricomycetes; Polyporales; Polyporaceae.
GGACACCAAGGCGGACGUGAAGAAGGCGGCCCGCGAUUCGCUCGAAAAGGUCACUGCUCUCGUAUCGAACAAGGACAUAGAACGCUUUAUUCCCGCCCUCAUCAAGGCUCUAAUCAACCCCGUCGAGGAGGUCCCUAACACCAUCACCCUCCUGUCGGCAACCACCUUCGUUUCAGAAGUUGACUCCCCCACCCUCUCCCUCAUGGUCCCUCUCUUGUCUCGUGGUCUCAGCGAGAAGCUCACCGCUACCAAGCGUAAGGUCGCGGUCAUCAUCGACAACAUGGCCAAGCUCGUCGACUCGCCCGUGACCGUCCGCCCGUUCAUCCCCAAGCUUCUCCCCGGCCUCAUCAAGAUCGAGUCCGUCAUCGGUGAC